GAUGAACGCUAGCUACAGGCUUAACACAUGCAAGUCGAGGGGAAACGACAUCGAAAGCUUGCUUUUGAUGGGCGUCGACCGGCGCACGGGUGAGUAACGCGUAUCCAACCUGCCCACCACUUGGGGAUAACCUUGCGAAAGUAAGACUAAUACCCAAUGAUAUCCCACGAAGGCAUCCGAAUGGGAUUAAAGAUUUAUCGGUGAUGGAUGGGGAUGCGUCUGAUUAGCUUGUUGGCGGGGUAACGGCCCACCAAGGCAACGAUCAGUAGGGGUUCUGAGAGGAAGGUCCCCCACAUUGGAACUGAGACACGGUCCAAACUCCUACGGGAGGCAGCAGUGAGGAAUAUUGGUCAAUGGGCGAGAGCCUGAACCAGCCAAGUAGCGUGCAGGACGACGGCCCUAUGGGUUGUAAACUGCUUUUAUAAGGGAAUAAAGUGGGUCUCGUGAGACUUUUUGCAUGUACCUUAUGAAUAAGGACCGGCUAAUUCCGUG
This 492-nucleotide ribosomal RNA is filed under the name uncultured bacterium. RNAcentral describes it as "bacterial SSU rRNA". It matches the Rfam family "Bacterial small subunit ribosomal RNA", at positions 28 to 507 of the family's 1533-position model. The record is from RNAcentral.